UACGGGGGGGGCAAGCGUUGUUCGGAAUUACUGGGCGUAAAGGGCUCGUAGGCGGCCAACUAAGUCGGACGUGAAAUCCCCAGGCUCAACCUGGGAACUGCGUCCGAUACUGGAUGGCUUGAAUUCGGGAGAGGGAUGCAGAAUUCCAGGUGUAGCGGUGAAAUGCGUAGAUAUCUGGAGGAAUACCGGUGGCGAAGGCGAGUCCCUGGACAACUCCUGACGCUGAGGCACGAAAGCUAGGGGAGCAAACAGG
RNAcentral lists this ribosomal RNA (253 nucleotides) under uncultured bacterium. Its description in RNAcentral is "partial 16S ribosomal RNA". It matches the Rfam family "Bacterial small subunit ribosomal RNA", at positions 524 to 776 of the family's 1533-position model. The record is from RNAcentral.